Molecule: long non-coding RNA, 1163 nt
Organism: Schistocerca gregaria
Lineage: Eukaryota; Metazoa; Arthropoda; Insecta; Orthoptera; Acrididae
Exons: 2
Source: RefSeq, a predicted model, not a curated record
AAAAACAAACAAAUCCUUAUCUCAGACAACACCUUUAUCAAAGCAGGCGCUACUGUUAUUGCUGUCAGUCUUCAACAGCAGACCUUGAGAAUGCCUUCUUCCAUUUGUAGGCACAUAGUUAAUACGAUAAAUAUUAAUGUAAGAGAAGCCAUAGUAAGGUUUUAUCACCUGAAGAUAUGAUUACAAUAUUGUGAAGCCAGUCAUGUAUAAUCUGGGGAUAAAGGAUUAUCAACAGCUAAUGCAGUUUCCAGAUUUUUUAAGAAGAUUUUAACAAAAAACAUUGACAGAAAUUUUUAACAUGUAUCAACUAAGCCCACAGUGUAAAGUCAUACAUUUUCUGCUGUUACGAAUAUGAGUGGGAUCAGCACACAAGUAAUAUAUUGUGGAAACAACAGGAAUUUUAUUAGAAGAAAAAGAUACCUGAAACAACAGUCUCAUGCAUUAGUUAUAGCUUACUUGGAUUGAAGAAUCUUGGACACCACAAAAAUUCAUACGUAUCUUCAACGGAGACUACAACAUUGUAGGCUAACAUGAGGAAGAAAUAGAAGAUGAAAUCAAAAUGGAGGAGAAGGAAUGUGGAACAAGAGGAAAAGAUGUAAUACGCGCAUAGUAAAGAAGUGUUUGACAAAAUAAUGUUGCAAAAUGUGUCAAAAGCUAAUCUGUUUGAUGCACAUUGAAACUUUUAGCUCUGACUGCAGUAAAAUUCCUGAUGUAUUACUGUAGCCCAAAAGUGACAAUGAGACAGAUUAGUGUGUAAUAUUGUCAUUGUUGUUGUCCUCUAAUGUCAUCUUUCCAUUUCUGUAAAGAUAUUUGUCAUUUAUAAGAAGUUUCACUAGUGAAAUUUAUUAAAGAAGCAAGUGAAAAUGCAGUGUUGUUAUCGUUUGUUACCACAGUUCAACACUGACAACAAGAAAUCUGAAUGAUUACCUUUCUAUUGUUGUUGUGCUCUUUGUCUUUCUUUAAAGAUAUUUCAUUUACAGAGUUAGUUAGUUAGUUGGUUGGUUACGUGUUCGUGGAUCUUUUACUUAAUAGAUUGUAGUGAUGUGGAGCAAGCCAUUUUAUAUUUACAUUGCAAAUUGAUGUGUACAUAUGUUUACAGUAUGAACGUUUCUAAGUUGUUUUUUGUUUUGUUAAUGUGAUUUAAUAAAUAACCAUGUGAAUAA